Molecule: ribosomal RNA, 494 nt
Filed under: uncultured bacterium
Lineage: Bacteria
Description: bacterial SSU rRNA
Rfam family: Bacterial small subunit ribosomal RNA
Source: RNAcentral
GAUCCUGGCUCAGGAUGAACGCUAGCGGGAGGCCUAACACAUGCAAGCCGAGCGGUUAUUGUUUCUUCGGAAAUGAGAGAGCGGCGUACGGGUGCGGAACACGUGUGCAACCUGCCUUUAUCUGGGGGAUAGCCUUUCGAAAAGGAAGAUUAAUACUCCAUAAUAUAUUGAACGGCAUCGUUUAAUAUUGAAAGCUCCGGCGGAUAGAGAUGGGCACGCGCAAGAUUAGCUAGUUGGUGAGGUAACGGCUCACCAAGGCAAUGAUCUUUAGGGGGCCUGAGAGGGUGAUCCCCCACACUGGUACUGAGACACGGACCAGACUCCUACGGGAGGCAGCAGUGAGGAAUAUUGGUCAAUGGGUGCAAGCCUGAACCAGCCAUCCCGCGUGAAGGACGACUGCCCUAUGGGUUGUAAACUUCUUUUGUAUAGGGAUAAACCUUUCCACGUGUGGAAAGCUGAAGGUACUAUACGAAUAAGCACCGGCUAACUCCGUG